RNAcentral lists this ribosomal RNA (495 nucleotides) under uncultured bacterium. RNAcentral describes it as "partial 16S ribosomal RNA". It matches the Rfam family "Bacterial small subunit ribosomal RNA", at positions 28 to 507 of the family's 1533-position model. The record is from RNAcentral.
GACGAACGCUGGCGGCGUGCCUAAUACAUGCAAGUAGAACGCUGAAGGAGGAGCUUGCUUCUCUGGAUGAGUUGCGAACGGGUGAGUAACGCGUAGGUAACCUGCCUGGUAGCGGGGGAUAACUAUUGGAAACGAUAGCUAAUACCGCAUAAUAGUAGAUGUUGCAUGACAUUUACUUAAAAGGUGCAAUUGCAUCACUACCAGAUGGACCUGCGGUGUAUUAGUUAGUUGGUGGGGUAACGGCUCACCAAGGCGACGAUACAUAGCCGACCUGAAAGGGUGAUCGGCCACAAUGGGACUGAGACACGGCCCAGACUCCUACGGGAGGCAGCAGUAGGGAAUCUUCGGCAAUGGACGAAAGUCUGACCGAGCAACGCCGCGUGAGUGAAGAAGGUUUUCGGAUCGUAAAGCUCUGUUGUAAGAGAAGAACGAGUGUGAGAGUGGAAAGUUCACACUGUGACGGUAUCUUACCAGAAAGGGACGGCUAACUACGUG